Molecule: non-coding RNA, 1219 nt
Organism: Pelobates cultripes (western spadefoot toad)
Lineage: Eukaryota; Metazoa; Chordata; Amphibia; Anura; Pelobatidae
Source: the annotation of a GenBank genome assembly
CUUGUUUCUGGUGUUUUUCUCCAGCUACCUGAUGUAUUUUUGGGCUCCUUCCACUAAGCCUUACAUAUAUUUUAUAACUCCUCGUGUACAGCUCUUCCUUGUAUCCCGUUGCUGUCUAGGAAGUCACAUCUAGCUGCCCUUCUUUCUACAAGCCAUUCUCCCAUUGGAGGUUAUGUCUACCGCCCUAUCUUCCUGCCAUUUUAUCUCUCUGACCAACGUUUCCAUCUCUAAUGACUUCCUUAGCGCCAUGUACAUCGCUUUCACUGCAUUUUCAGUUUUAAAUGCUGUAAAUUACGUAAACCUCCACACAGGUGGAAGCUGUAUUUCAGCUCCACAUUGACUUUAAAUGUCAGAGACUGGAAAUAGCACAGCCCCCACAGUGACCGCAUCUCUCGCAACGCUAUGUCAUCUGCCCUCCAUUGUCCCGGCACGCCAUUUCCUGGUAGCUCACUUGGCAGAGGUAUGAUCCAGAUGGGAAUCCAAGCCAUUGCAAUUUCCAAGGUCAGAUAAUCAGCGGUUAAUUUAUUACAUGGCUCGGGCUUUCUGUAUAUUAAAAUACCUUUUAUUUAGAAUUUAUUGUCACCGGAAUGAAUGAGCACAGGAAUUAAACAAGCAUCAAAGCUUAGAGAUAAUUAAUAUUGAAGUGUCUGUGUACAGGUGGUCAUGCUGCAAUCACUGACAUUGUUUAAUUGGGGGGUGAUACAAGCCAGCAUAUGAAUGGGACCACAUGCAGGCAUAGUGUGGGGACCAUCGCCAGAGCUGGUGGAAUCCUGGGAGGAUGGGUGGUGAAUGGAGAACGCUGGUGGACUUGUUUGGUUGCUAAGAGACGGGAGAGCUAAGUGGUCUCGCCCUAUGCAUGGAGCUGACCUUGAUCUAGUCUGACUGUCAGGUGAAGAAAGCCGCACUUGAUUCAUUGACAUGUUGCCAAAUGAGGUCCUAGAGGCUUGGGGAAAGAGGUCUACAUUUCGGAAAAGGGGGGAGGAGUAAAUGGAGACACGGAGAUACAAUAAAAAAAUGGCACAUAAAAACCAUUGUAUAAAUAUGUUUUAUCAACAUUUUAAUGUAAUUAACAUAAUAAAUCAAAAUUAAAUGCUGAACUGUUAAAGUAGCGGGACAAUUUGUAGGAAUAUUUAUUUGGUUUCUAUAGCGAUUGCUACAGAAUAGCUCUUAAUAAAUAACUCUGAUAGCAUAUAUAUUUAGGAUAAAUCUGUACAUGGAG